CAGCCGCCGCGGGAAUACGAAGGGGGCUAGCGUUGUUCGGAAUUACUGGGCGUAAAGCGCACGUAGGCGGAUCGAUCAGUCAGGGGUGAAAUCCCAGGGCUCAACCCUGGAACUGCCUUUGAUACUGUCGAUCUGGAGUAUGGAAGAGGUGAGUGGAAUUCCGAGUGUAGAGGUGAAAUUCGUAGAUAUUCGGAGGAACACCAGUGGCGAAGGCGGCUCACUGGUCCAUUACUGACGCUGAGGUGCGAAAGCGUGGGGAGCAAACAGGAUUAGAUACCCCUGUAGUCCCUGUCUCUUAUAC
Molecule: ribosomal RNA, 301 nt
Filed under: uncultured bacterium
Lineage: Bacteria
Description: partial 16S ribosomal RNA
Rfam family: Bacterial small subunit ribosomal RNA
Source: RNAcentral